This 67-nucleotide transfer RNA is filed under the name Marmota monax (woodchuck). RNAcentral's name for it is "tRNA.Ala". The record is from RNAcentral. Lineage: Eukaryota; Metazoa; Chordata; Mammalia; Rodentia; Sciuridae.
GGUUGUGGCUCAGUGGUAGAACACUUGCCUGGCAUGUGUGAGGCCCUGGGUUCAAUCCUCAGCACCA